Molecule: ribosomal RNA, 505 nt
Filed under: Echinopus minutus
Lineage: Eukaryota; Metazoa; Arthropoda; Insecta; Ephemeroptera; Baetidae
Description: partial 16S ribosomal RNA
Rfam family: Bacterial large subunit ribosomal RNA
Source: RNAcentral
CCUGCUAAAGAAAUAAUUUUAAGUACCGCCUGCCCACUGAUUUUGAAGGGCCGCAGUAUACUGACUGUGCAAAGGUAGCAUAAUCAUUUGUCUUUUAAUUAAAGGCUAGUAUGAAUGGCGAGACGUGGUAGUGUCUGUCCCAAAUUUAUUAUUCGAAUUUAAUUUGUAAGUUAAAAAGCUUAUAUUAUUCCGCAGGACGAGAAGACCCCGUAGAGUUUAAUUAGAUCCACAUUAAAUUAUUUAGAUUUUAUUUAAUUUAUGGUUUAAACUAAUUUUAUUGGGGCGAUAUGAAGUAAAUUAACACUUUAAUUUAAAACUUUUAUAAAUGUUUAUUUGAUCCUUUUUGAUGAUUAAUAAAUAAAACUACCUUGGGGAUAACAGCGUAAUCUAAUUUAAGAGUUCUUAUCAAAAAUUAGGAUUGCGACCUCGAUGUUGGAUUAAGGUUCAUUUUAGAUGAAGCAGUCUAUAAAUGGGGUCUGUUCGACCUUUAAAAUCUUACAUGAUC